This 492-nucleotide ribosomal RNA is filed under the name uncultured bacterium. RNAcentral's name for it is "partial 16S ribosomal RNA". It matches the Rfam family "Bacterial small subunit ribosomal RNA", at positions 30 to 507 of the family's 1533-position model. The record is from RNAcentral.
AUUGAACGCUGGCGGUAGGCCUAACACAUGCAAGUCGAACGGCAGCACAGUAAUAGCUUGCUCUUACGGGUGGCGAGUGGCGGACGGGUGAUGAAUACAUCGGAAUCUACUUUUUCGUGGGGGAGAACGUAGGGAAACUUACGCUAAUACCGCAGACGAACUACGGGUGAAAUCAUGGGAUCUCCGGACCUUGCGCGAUUGAAGGAGCCGAUGUCGGAUUAGCUAGUUGGUGGGGUAAAGGCCCACCAAGGCGACGAUCCGUAGCUGGUCUGAGAGGAUGAUCAGCCACACUGGAACUGAGACACGGUCCAGACUCCUACGGGAGGCAGCAGUGGGGAAUAUUGGACAAUGGGCGAAAGCCUGAUCCAGCCAUACCGCGUGGGUGAAGAAGGCCUUCGGGUUGUAAAGCCCUUUUGUUGGGAAAGAAAAGCAGCAGGUUAAUACCUCGCUGUUCUGACGGUACCAACAGAAUAAGCACCGGCUAACUUCGUG